UUCACGCAUGCUACAAUGGCCGGGUACCAAAGGGACGUGCGAUACCGCGAGGUGGAGCGAAUCCCAGAAAGCCGGUCUCAGUUCGGAUUGGGGUCUGCAACUCGACCCCAUGAAGUCGGAGUCGCUAGUAAUCGCAGAUCAGCAACGCUGCGGUGAAUACGUUCCCGGGCCUU
This 173-nucleotide ribosomal RNA is filed under the name uncultured Cellulomonas sp. RNAcentral describes it as "partial 16S ribosomal RNA". It matches the Rfam family "Bacterial small subunit ribosomal RNA", at positions 1215 to 1382 of the family's 1533-position model. Lineage: Bacteria; Bacillati; Actinomycetota; Actinomycetes; Micrococcales; Cellulomonadaceae. The record is from RNAcentral.